This 1321-nucleotide long non-coding RNA is filed under the name Chrysemys picta bellii (western painted turtle). Its description in RNAcentral is "lncRNA (ENSCPBG00000013305.1)". The record is from RNAcentral. Lineage: Eukaryota; Metazoa; Chordata; Testudines; Emydidae.
GCAACAAACCAGGACAAGCACACCCACUUUUGAGGAGUCCACUCGGUACAACCUCUGGUGUCCAAUAGCUUUCCUCUCUCCCUAGUCCUCUGGCUAGAAAUCUGAGGUAGCCAGAAGGAUCCCAUGAGCAAUAUGGGGAGUGGGUUAACCUUCCAUGUCCUUGCUUCCAAAGACUGUUGGUUAACCCACUCCCCAUAUUGCCCAUGGGAUCCUUCUGGCUACCUCAAAUUUCUAGCCAAAGGGCUGGAAAGGGAGAAAAGCUAUUCAACACCAAAGGUUGUACCAAGUGAACUCCUCAAAAGUGGAUGUGCUUGUCCUGGUUUGUUGCUCCAAAGCUCUGUAAUAAAGUUAUUUUACUAAAAGAGUGUAUAUGGCAUACAUUAAAUAAUAAGACUAAUGUACCGUAUAAUGGCAAUGUGUAUGUGCCUUAAAUUAUGUUUUAGCCUCCCAGGGCGGGUUGUGUGCCCUUAUUGGGAAUGAAUGUUGUACUUAUGUCCCGGAAAACUCACAGGACAUUAACAAGCACGUCCUGUCUGCCAAACAGGCUUUCAAGCAGUGGAAGGCCCACAGUUUUCGAUUCCCUUUGAAGUUGGUUGCCUGACCUAGGAGGACUGGGGGGUGGCCUUGUGCGUCUCCUCCUCACAGGUGUGGUACUGUGCCUGGUCAUGCUCCUCCGUAAGCUUUGUGCCCCCCCACUCCUCAAAAAUCCUGGCAUACCCUCUCAUUGAAAACCCCAGCUUCAUAGCACUUAAUCAUAUCUUGUCCACAGAAUAUGAGAAAACUCAGCCAAAGGCUUGUUGAGUAUUCUCAAAGGAGGGAGUUGUUGACAUCACUAGGCCUCACCCUAGGUAACUUGGGAGGGUGGAAGGCCACUAAGUGUCAAUGAAGCCUUCCUGCACUAGGCCUAAGUGAACCAAACUCUAUCCUUCCAUGUUUAAACUCUAAUCAACCUCAAAAGCCAGGUGCAAUUGGAAUAUGUAAGCAACCAGUUAUCUGUGUGCAACCCCCUGCUCAAGUGGUAAUAACGAGGCCUGCAUGUUUCUGGCUGAAGGGAAAAAGGACAAGAUAACGGUUUAAAGAAGUUACUAACAAGCUAGGCUUAUAGCUGCCAAGAAUGAUUUAACUGCUUAAAUGUAAUCGUUAUUUGCUUAUGUAAGCGGGGAAAUGGUCCCGCUAUUGUGGGGAACUUUCCUGGCUUCUGCACUACCCCGGUGAAGUGGCCUAGCGAAAGGAUCUGAGUCCUCGCUCCCACUUCCUUUACCCAGAGGCCUCCCUGCCCUUGAGGACUCCCCUUCCACUCUCCUGUCUGGCAGAGUCCUCG